RNAcentral lists this ribosomal RNA (559 nucleotides) under uncultured bacterium. RNAcentral's name for it is "bacterial SSU rRNA". It matches the Rfam family "Bacterial small subunit ribosomal RNA", at positions 397 to 969 of the family's 1533-position model. The record is from RNAcentral.
CCGCGUGAAGGAAGAAGGCCUUCGGGUUGUAAACUUUUGUCUUUAGGGAAGAAAAAAAUGACGGUACCUAAGGAGGAAGCCACGGCUAACUACGUGCCAGCAGCCGCGGUAAUACGUAGGUGGCAAGCGUUAUCCGGAUUUACUGGGUGUAAAGGGAGCGUAGGCGGGACUUUAAGUCAGAUGUGAAAUGCUGGGGCUCAACCCCAGAGCUGCAUUUGAAACUGGAGUUCUUGAGUGUCGGAGAGGUAAGUGGAAUUCCUAGUGUAGCGGUGAAAUGCGUAGAUAUUAGGAGGAACACCAGUGGCGAAGGCGACUUACUGGACGAUAACUGACGCUGAGGCUCGAAAGUGCGGGGAGCAAACAGGAUUAGAUACCCUGGUAGUCCGCACUGUAAACGAUGGAUACUAGGUGUAGGAGGUAUCGACCCCUUCUGUGCCGCAGUUAACACAAUAAGUAUCCCACCUGGGGAGUACGAACGCAAGUUUGAAACUCAAAGGAAUUGACGGGGGCCCGCACAAGCAGUGGAGUAUGUGGUUUAAUUCGAAGCAACGCGAAGAAC